UAUUAUUCUAAAAUAUAUUUUUCUUCCUGAAUUAGUAGUAGAUAUUUACUUAAAAGUUAAAAGAUUUGGCGGUAAUUUAAUCUUUUCAGAGGAACUUGUUUUUUAAUCGAUAACCCGCGAAAUAUCUUACUUAUCUUUGUAAAGUUUGUAUACCAUCAUUAUCAGGUAAUUUUUAAAGAGUAAAUUAUUAAAAAUAAAGGUUUUAUUUAAAUUAGAUCAUGGUGCAGCUAAUAGGUAAGUUAAAAUGAGUUACAAUAAAUUAUUUUAUACGGAUAAAUAAAAAAAUUUUUAUUUAGAAGGAGGAUUUGGUUGUAUUUAAAGUUUAAUAUGUUUAAAAGAUGAUAGCUCUAGAUUAUGUACAUAU
Molecule: ribosomal RNA, 364 nt
Filed under: Alain raymondi
Lineage: Eukaryota; Metazoa; Arthropoda; Malacostraca; Decapoda; Pinnotheridae
Description: partial 12S ribosomal RNA
Source: RNAcentral